UGAGGAAUAUUGGUCAAUGGACGCAAGUCUGAACCAGCCAAGUAGCGUGCAGGAUGACGGCCCUAUGGGUUGUAAACUGCUUUUAUAUGGGGAUAAAGUGGGGAACGUGUUCCCUUUUGCAGGUACCAUAUGAAUAAGGACCGGCUAAUUCCGUGCCAGCAGCCGCGGUAAUACGGAAGGUUCGGGCGUUAUCCGGAUUUAUUGGGUUUAAAGGGAGCGUAGGCCGUUUGGUAAGCGUGUUGUGAAAUGUAGGAGCUCAACUUCUAGAUUGCAGCGCGAACUGUCAGACUUGAGUGCGCACAACGUAGGCGGAAUUCAUGGUGUAGCGGUGAAAUGCUUAGAUAUCAUGACGAACUCCGAUUGCGAAGGCAGCUUACGGGGGCGCAACUGACGCUAAAGCUCGAAGGUGCGGGUAUCGAACAGG
RNAcentral lists this ribosomal RNA (424 nucleotides) under Verrucomicrobiota bacterium. Its description in RNAcentral is "Verrucomicrobia bacterium partial 16S ribosomal RNA". It matches the Rfam family "Bacterial small subunit ribosomal RNA", at positions 355 to 776 of the family's 1533-position model. The record is from RNAcentral. Lineage: Bacteria; Pseudomonadati; Verrucomicrobiota.